AACCAUUCUCACCUGCGGCUAGACCUGCGGAGGGAUCAUUACAAGUGACCCCGGUCUAACCACCGGGAUGUUCAUAACCCUUUGUUGUCCGACUCUGUUGCCUCCGGGGCGACCCUGCCUUCGGGCGGGGGCUCCGGGUGGACACUUCAAACUCUUGCGUAACUUUGCAGUCUGAGUAAACUUAAUUAAUAAAUUAAAACUUUCAACAACGGAUCU
Molecule: unclassified non-coding RNA, 216 nt
Filed under: soil metagenome
Description: partial contains 5.8S ribosomal RNA, internal transcribed spacer 2, and large subunit ribosomal RNA
Source: RNAcentral